Molecule: ribosomal RNA, 161 nt
Filed under: Amanita sp. 'T49'
Lineage: Eukaryota; Fungi; Basidiomycota; Agaricomycetes; Agaricales; Amanitaceae
Description: Amanita sp. 'sp-T49' 5.8S ribosomal RNA
Rfam family: 5.8S ribosomal RNA
About the family: 5.8S ribosomal RNA (5.8S rRNA) is a component of the large subunit of the eukaryotic ribosome. It is transcribed by RNA polymerase I as part of the 45S precursor that also contains 18S and 28S rRNA. Functionally, it is thought that 5.8S rRNA may be involved in ribosome translocation.
Source: RNAcentral
ACAACUUUCAACAAUGGAUCUCUUGGCUCUCGCAUCGAUGAAGAACACAGCGAAAUGUGAUAAGUAAUGUGAAUUGCAGAAUCCAGUGAAUCAUCGAAUCUUUGAACGCAUCUUGCGCUCCUUGGCAUUCCGAGGAGCAUGCCUGUUUGAGUGUCGUUGAA